Rattus norvegicus (Norway rat) is the source of this 69-nucleotide non-coding RNA. The record is from Rfam. Lineage: Eukaryota; Metazoa; Chordata; Mammalia; Rodentia; Muridae.
GGGGAUUUGGCUCAGUGGUAGAGCGCUUGCCUAGCAAACGCAAGGCCCUGGGUUCGGUCCCCAGCUCCA